GUGGUAGAUGAUUAUUGGGCCUAAGCAUCCGUAGCUCGUUUUGUAAGUUUUCGGUUAAAUCCAUGCGCUUAACGUAUGGGCUGCCGGGAAUACUGCAUAACUAGGAAGUGGGAGAGGUAGACGGUACUCGGUAGGAAGGGGUAAAAUCCUUUGAUCUAUUGAUGACCACCUGUGGCGAAGGCGGUCUACCAGAACACGUUCGACGGUGAGGGAUGAAAGCUGGGGGAGCAAACCGGAUUAGAUACCCGGGUAGUCCCAGCUGUAAACUAUGCAAACUCAGUGAUGCAUUGGCUUGUGGCCAAUACAGUGCUGCAGGGAAGCCGUUAAGUUUACCGCCUGGGAAGUACGUACGCAAGUAUGAAACUUAAAGGAAUUGGCGGGGGAGCAC
Molecule: ribosomal RNA, 388 nt
Filed under: uncultured archaeon
Lineage: Archaea
Description: bacterial SSU rRNA
Rfam family: Archaeal small subunit ribosomal RNA
Source: RNAcentral